RNAcentral lists this ribosomal RNA (250 nucleotides) under uncultured prokaryote. RNAcentral describes it as "partial 16S ribosomal RNA". It matches the Rfam family "Bacterial small subunit ribosomal RNA", at positions 524 to 773 of the family's 1533-position model. The record is from RNAcentral.
UACGUAGGGGGCAAGCGUUAUCCGGAUUUACUGGGUGUAAAGGGAGCGCAGACGGCAGUGCAAGUCUGAUGUGAAAGCCCGGGGCUCAACCCCGGAACUACAUUGGAAACUGUACAGCUGGAGUAUCGGAGAGGUAAGCGGAAUUCCUAGUGUAGCGGUGAAAUGCGUAGAUAUUAGGAGGAACACCGGUGGCGAAGGCGGGUUACUGGACGACAACUGACGUUGAGGCUCGAAAGCGUGGGGAGCAAAC